GAUGAGAACGUAGCGAAAUGCGAUAAGUAAUGUGAAUUGCAGAAUUCAGUGAAUCAUCGAAUCUUUGAACGCACCUUGCACCCUUUGGCAUUCCGAAGGGUAUGCUCGUUUGAGUGUCAUUGUACUCUCACACUUCCAAUCUUUGGAUUGGGAGCGGUGGACUUGGGUGUUGCUGCUUACUGUGGCUCACCUCAAAUCGAUUCGUGCACCUCUUGGUUGGACAUAGUACGGCGUGAUAAGUGUCUUCGCCGGCACCUCAGUAGAGGGUGGCUGAUCAGGAGCUCUGUGCUUCAAACCGUCCUCGGACAACAACUGACAACUUGACCUCAAAUCGAGUAGGACUACCCGCUGAACUUAAGCAUAUCAAUAAGCGGAGGA
Molecule: unclassified non-coding RNA, 378 nt
Filed under: soil metagenome
Description: partial contains 5.8S ribosomal RNA, internal transcribed spacer 2, and large subunit ribosomal RNA
Rfam family: 5.8S ribosomal RNA (bases 5-119)
Source: RNAcentral